ACUCGARUGGCGAACGGGUGAGUAACACGUGGGUGAUCUGCCCUGCACUUCGGGAUAAGCCUGGGAAACUGGGUCUAAUACCGGAUAUACCUCAUGGAUCGCAUGGUUUGUGGGGGAAAGCUUUUGCGGUGUGGGAUGGGCCCGCGGCUAUCAGCUUGUUGGUGAGGUUAUGGCUUACCAAGGCGACGACGGGUAGCCGGCCUGAGAGGGUGACCGGCCACACUGGGACUGAGAUACGGCCCAGACUCCUACGGGAGGCAGCAGUGGGGAAUAUUGCACAAUGGGCGCAAGCCUGAUGCAGCGACGCCGCGUGAGGGAUGACGGCCUUCGGGUUGUAAACCUCUUUCAGCAGGGACGAAGCGAGAGUGACGGUACCUGUAGAAGAAGGACCGGCCAACUACGUGCCAGCAGCCGCGGUAAUACGUAGGGUCCGAGCGUUGUCCGGAAUUACUGGGCGUAAAGAGCUCGUAGGUGGU
RNAcentral lists this ribosomal RNA (476 nucleotides) under Mycolicibacterium tusciae. RNAcentral describes it as "bacterial SSU rRNA". It matches the Rfam family "Bacterial small subunit ribosomal RNA", at positions 89 to 579 of the family's 1533-position model. Lineage: Bacteria; Bacillati; Actinomycetota; Actinomycetes; Mycobacteriales; Mycobacteriaceae. The record is from RNAcentral.